RNAcentral lists this ribosomal RNA (524 nucleotides) under uncultured bacterium. RNAcentral describes it as "partial 16S ribosomal RNA". It matches the Rfam family "Bacterial small subunit ribosomal RNA", at positions 28 to 523 of the family's 1533-position model. The record is from RNAcentral.
GACGAACGCUGGCGGCGUGCCUAAUACAUGCAAGUCGAACGAAGCUGUUUUAACUGGUGCUUGCACCGACUUAAACAACUGAGUGGCGAACGGGUGAGUAACACGUGGGUAACCUGCCCCAAAGCGGGGGAUAACAUUUGGAAACAGAUGCUAAUACCGCAUAACCACAGAAACCACAUGGUUUCUGUGUCAAAGAUGGUUUCGGCUAUCACUUUGGGAUGGACCCGCGGCGUAUUAGCUAGUUGGUAAGGUAAUGGCUUACCAAGGCAAUGAUACGUAGCCGACCUAGGGGGUUGAUCGGCCACAUUGGGACUGGGACACGGCCCAAACUCCUACGGGAGGCAGCAGUAGGGAAUCUUCCACAAUGGACGAAAGUCUGAUGGAGCAACGCCGCGUGAGUGAAGAAGGUUUUCGGAUCGUAAAACUCUGUUGUCAGAGAAGAACGUGUGCGAGAGUAACUGUUCGUGCAGUGACGGUAUCUGGCCAGAAAGCCACGGCUAACUACGUGCCAGCCGCCGCGGUAA